CCUACGGGUGGCAGCAGUGAGGAAUAUUGGUCAAUGGGCGGGAGCCUGAACCAGCCAAGUCGCGUGAAGGAAGAAGGUACUGAGUAGUGUAAACUUCUUUUGUCGGGGAACAAAGGCGGAGACGCGUCUCCGGAUGAGUGUACCCGAAGAAAAAGCAUCGGCUAACGCCGUGCCAGCAGCCGCGGUAAUACGGAGGAUGCGAGCGUUAUCCGGAUGGAUUGGGGUUAAAGGGUGCGCAGGCGGGAGAUCAAGUCAGCGGUAAAAUGUCGGGGCUCAACCCCGGCCGGCCGUUGAAACUGGUUUUCUAGCGUUGGCGAGCUGUAUGCGCCAUUCGUGGUGUAGCGG
RNAcentral lists this ribosomal RNA (345 nucleotides) under uncultured bacterium. Its description in RNAcentral is "partial 16S ribosomal RNA". It matches the Rfam family "Bacterial small subunit ribosomal RNA", at positions 338 to 681 of the family's 1533-position model. The record is from RNAcentral.